UGGGGAAUAUUGGACAAUGGGCGAAAGCCUGAUCCAGCCAUGCCGCGUGUGUGAAGAAGGUCUUCGGAUUGUAAAGCACUUUAAGUUGGGAGGAAGGGCCAUUACCUAAUACGUGAUGGUUUUGACGUUACCGACAGAAUAAGCACCGGCUAACUCUGUGCCAGCAGCCGCGGUAAUACAGAGGGUGCAAGCGUUAAUCGGAAUUACUGGGCGUAAAGCGCGCGUAGGUGGUUUGUUAAGUUGGAUGUGAAAUCCCCGGGCUCAACCUGGGAACUGCAUUCAAAACUGACUGACUAGAGUAUGGUAGAGGGUGGUGGAAUUUCCUGUGUAGCGGUGAAAUGCGUAGAUAUAGGAAGGAACACCAGUGGCGAAGGCGACCACCUGGACUGAUACUGACGCUGAGACGCGAAAGCGUGGGGAGCAAACAGGAUUAGAUACCCAAGUAGUCCCUGAGCGGGCUGGCAAGGCGCAU
Molecule: ribosomal RNA, 472 nt
Filed under: uncultured bacterium
Lineage: Bacteria
Description: bacterial SSU rRNA
Rfam family: Bacterial small subunit ribosomal RNA
Source: RNAcentral